Musa acuminata AAA Group (dessert banana) is the source of this 4594-nucleotide long non-coding RNA. RefSeq lists it as uncharacterized. The record is from RefSeq and is a predicted model, not a curated record. NCBI's taxonomy places the organism in Eukaryota, Viridiplantae, Streptophyta, Magnoliopsida, Zingiberales, Musaceae. The transcript has 2 exons.
AAGGGUCUCGGACCAGACAAAAAACAAAAAUAAAAAGAAAAAGAAAGUGCUAUAUAAAGUGCAAGGAUAUGCGAUUGGGUCGGUUAGGUCACGAUGGCUCUCCGCGUCCUCUGUUCCCGUCCUUCCUCCCUGAUCUGCCACCGCUUCUUGGGGACGAUCGAUCGUCUUCUAACUAAGAAUAUUAGGGUUCGUAAGAAGGCAGCCGCCGCUGCAUAGGGGAGGAGGAUUUGAUUUCUCUUUUCCCGAUCAAUGGGGUUACUCUUUAUGUUUCCUCUGCGUGGCACCCUCCAUCGGGAUGGCGUGGUAGCUCGGAUGGCCUGCUUCUCUGAAGGCAACCGCUGCCGCCAUUCUCUUUCGGAGAGGCGCAAGUAAGGAGGACAUCGACAAAUUAAAGAAUGAUUUGAUAGGGACCCUUUGCGUGGAAUUUGUGAUCUUCGUUUGAGGCGGCUUGGAGCCUCUUCCUCUGGAUCUUUUGAGGUUCAGAAUUUCACAAAAAAGGAAUCACUUUUUUGUCCUUUCAGAAAGAUUGAUAGGUUUUUUUCUUGUUUGUCAACUGGCCAUUACUUUUUAACUUACCUUUGUAUCUGAGCAAUUGACAAGUCAGUUGACUAAUAUAAGUUUAAUGGUAUCUAGGAGCAGUUGUCGGAAAGGUCAGGUGCUCAUCAACACAAUUUUCUUAUAAAAGGUUUUGCUUGUAUCCUUUUAAGAUAACUGCUUUUUUGUAUCAAUUGCCAUAUCUCUUCUAGUGAAGUGAGGCAUACAUUCAUGCAAUUUCCCCACGAAGGGGUUGUUUUUUCAUUUCAUAAGGGUUUAUUUAGGCUUUAUGUAAAUUGCCUUUCUUAUUUCGAGCUAGCAUGCUCUCUAUUUUCUACAAACUCAAUUCUCCCACCAAUUAUCAGAUACUACCGUCCAUCUAUUUUUACUCUUAUGCAUGCGUGUGAAAAAGGUGUGACGGUCAAUUGUGAGGUUUUUAUGUGUGCAUUGCUUUAGUCACCCAUGAAUGAAAUUCCAAAAAAUCACCCUAGAAAGCAGAAUAAGGCAAAAAUCAAUGACAUUGGCACCAUUCAUGAUCAGUAAACCAUUGAUGAUAUUGGCGGUUAAACCAUCUAGGUUUCUUUUGAGCUUGUCUUGUGGGUGUAGAAGGCAUUCUCAUUAUAAAUAUCUGUCAAGUUGGAAGGAAGGAGCCUUCAUCUUAUUGUCUCUUUCAUGGCAUUUAUUUUUACAAUUAUGGCAUGUAGCUAGGUGGCCUGGUUUUUCCCAGGCAACUGUUGCUGCUAUUCUUUAUCUUCUACGUUGAGGCACAGUAAGUAGAUUCCAAAAGGAUGGAUGUGACUUUUCUAUCCCUGAUUGAUUGAAGGCAGAUCUGAGCCCUUAUAUGAUAUCUUUCUUUAUUUAAGAUGAUUCAUGUUUAGAUAAAAUUUCCAGUUUGUAGAGCUAAAUUGUUUACAAUUUAAUAAAUUCCAUCUUGCUUUUCUGUAUGGUGAUUGCAUUUUGAUUUUCUAUAUUCUGUUCUUUUAUUGCAUGUAUUUUAGAUUUUUUUUGUAUUGUAGCUGAAUUUUAAUGUUGCUAUAUGUUUAUUUACCUGUUCAUGGCUUUUGCUUUCCUUCUUUAUGUUUGAAAAUCUGUACAAUUGAUUUGCCAAAAUAAUAAGUUCGAGCAGUGAAGUUUGCAUUUAGUGAGUAGUUCACUAAAACUAUGACAAAUUUAUGAGGAUUGUUUGUGUGCAUAAAAGAAUGAAUGUGAGCAUGGCCAAUGAGACCAGCGAUGGAUGGAAUAAUGUAUUACAUCCCAAUGAUUUCUCCAGAAACAUCCUCUUAUGCAUCUCCUUGACAAACCUAAUGUUUGCGUCCGGCUGAAAAUUGCCAUAGAAAAUUGCUUUAGACAUCAAUACAAGAAAACUCCAAAAGGAAAUCCUGGUCAGUUUUAAAAAAAAUAAAGGGGAACUCUGCUGUUAUGUUAUGUAUGAGAUUGACGUGAUUGACAAUUACGACCAUAUGUAUUUUCUUCCCUGGACUUCUUUUGUGGGUGAAAAAAGCAAUUGUCAUUGCAAUCUUUUAUGCUAACCAGGUGCCACUUUUGUGUUCCUUUGUGGGUGACUGAAUCACUCCUUGAAAGUGGUCAGUUAUCCUUUUGGGUUUAUAUGCUCUGAUUUAGUUUAUUAUCGGAAUCUUUCAAGUUUCCCAUUUAACAUUGAAUGUCCAUCUGCCAUACAAAGUGAAUGGACCCUUCCAGGUGUCCUCUUCUAUACGGAGGCUAUGAUGAUUUAUCUGAAUGUGAGGCCAUAUUUGUAUAUCAGAUUUUGUAAGAAACAACCACUAUUGGCUCCUCUUUUUGGUUAAUCUUUAAGAUGGCAUGGUAGCUCAGAGGGCCUGCUACUUAGGCAAGGGCUGCAGCUUUUCUUAAGAGAGACAGGGAGGGGACAAAGUAAGGAAGGUUUCUCUAUAUCUGAUCGAUUGAAGAAAAUCUGAGCCUCUCUUAGUGCUGUCUCUGCAAUCCCUUGGUAUUGAGGCUGGUAAGGCAGAAGUGGCAGGGAAGAUACCACUCAUUCAUCUCAUUAGUUUAAGUAUGAGGCUGUCGAGGAAGCCGAUGAUUCUUUUUAUCUUGUGUAUUUAGAGGCUGUGAUGAUUGGCCCUCACAGUGGAAUGUGGGGGUUCAUUAAUAUCAUAUAGAUGGAAGAAACAAUCCUGCCUCUGAAUGGCUUCUCUGUUGCAUUUGUUUAUAUGAAACAAAGGCAUGGCAGCUUGGACGGCCUGCUUCUCUGCAGGCAACCGCAACCGCCUUUUGUUAAUAGAGGCAUGGUGAGGACAUUCUAGGAGGAGGAUGUAUAUGUCUCUCCACUGAUGUGUUGAAGUCCGAUCUGAGCCUUCCUUUGGUAGCUCUCCUUAUUUUAGCAUGGUUGUUUUUUUUUUAAUGAAAUUACUAGUUCUCAUCAGCAAUAUUAUCCACUGCAUGAUUAAUUUCACCUUUCUUCUUUAUUUGGUGAUCACUGUUUGAUUUUACUAAAUUUUGCUUCUCACAGUUUUUGUACUUUGGUCGGAUUUUAGAUGUUUUCACCUUUUUUGUUUCAAAAUUGAACAAUCACUUUUACUAAAUUACAGCUUCUUGUCGUGUCAUAAUUAGUCUCUAAAUAAUGCUCUUUUGGGCACUCCAAUUGCCAUUCUUUUGUGAAAUUGUGAUUUUGUAAAUUUCCCUUCCACAUAAAUGUUUCUUGUUCUGAUGUUCCAUUAAUUGUGCAAAUAAAUGUGAUUAAGCUUAAUCCUAUUAGCAUAUCUCUGUGUUUUUAGAAAAAAAAAAUCAAUAUAACUAUUCAGACCGUUUGUUGUAUUAGUAAGUGGUUUCAUAUUGGCUGCUGCACAAGUGUAUUUGAACUGGACCAUACAAAUGAGUGGGAUUAUAGGAUUGCUCAUCCGUGUGGGGUUAUUACAAGCACAUACUUGGCUGCUUUAUGCUUACGUUCUUGACAAAAUCUUUGUAUUUGUUACUGUUGUUUAUGAUGUGCUAUAAACUCCUUUUUGCUGAUUAGUUGGAAAAAGCAGAAUGAUAGAUCUGAUAGUUAUGGUUCUUCUAGUUUAAAUGAUCUGUGGCAAACCAGGAAACAAUUAUGGCCUCUUAUGAAUGCCAACGAGAUCUCUGAUAAGUGAAAGACCUGGUGGCCUCUCCCGCCCAACACUUAGAACUUUCCUCUUUUGAGUAUCACAGUGUUAAUAUCAGCUUCAUAUAAAUUUGUGUAUCUCCAUGUCCUUCAACAGUAGCUUGAAGAUUUUUCUUUCAGACAAGUCACAGUUCUCUGAUUAUCAAGAGGUUCUUAUUUCAGUUGCUUUCAAGGUCACCGAAGCCAACUGAGUUUAUGUUACGAUUGGUGACACUCUUCUGUGGGGUUGCUGGAAAUUACAUCUCGUCCUGCAUUUCUUUUUCUAAAUUAGUUGAGACAGCUACAUCUGCUGAGGAUGGAUGCGGGCCACUUGUGAUGUUUAUUCUUUCAAGAGACUUAAGCAGUGCAUUUUUCAUCUUUGAUCUUGCUGAGAGAUAUAAAUUAACAAUUUUAGUAGAAGUGGCAUAAGAGAUGCUGCCAAAAAUCAGAUACAAGUUUGCUGAUCUGAUUGGUAAAUGGUUCUUACCAUCAGCCAUCUUAACUACAUCUUGGAAAGAUAUUCGAUCUACUCAAAGAUCAGAUACAAAGGCCUUUACUCUUUAUCUUUAUGUCAGCCAAUUCUUUCAAGUUUACUAUUUCAUCAUUUUGGGACAUUAACAGACGAAACUAUCUGGUUUGGCGGUAUAAAUUAGUAUGUCACAAAUUUAUAAUUCCAAAUUUUUUUUUAUUGUGUAUUGACUUUCCAGGGCAGGGAUUGGCUCACGCGAACUUUUAGUCAAAAAGGUGUUCUGAAAAUCAACCCUUUUUUAUUGCCAGGCUAUUUUUCGCCUUCUGUUUCCAUUAGCGAAACGUGGUAUCAAGUUGCAGCUUGAGCUCUAGCCAGGAACAAUUGUCUGGAUCCGAAGGAAUUGUGUGCUAAUACACCAAAAUUCUGCCGAAUUGUUUUGAUCGAAUUUAAAAGGUAAUUUAUUUUGUCUUAGCCUCUUGAUGUUUCCUGAUUUA